Molecule: ribosomal RNA, 253 nt
Filed under: uncultured bacterium
Lineage: Bacteria
Description: partial 16S ribosomal RNA
Rfam family: Bacterial small subunit ribosomal RNA
Source: RNAcentral
UACGUAGGGCGCAAGCGUUGUCCGGAAUUAUUGGGCGUAAAGAGCUCGUAGGCGGCUUGUCACGUCGGAUGUGAAAGCCCGGGGCUUAACCCCGGGUCUGCAUUCGAUACGGGCAGGCUAGAGUGUGGUAGGGGAGAUCGGAAUUCCUGGUGUAGCGGUGAAAUGCGCAGAUAUCAGGAGGAACACCGGUGGCGAAGGCGGCUCACUGGACCGGUUCUGACGCUGAAGCGCGAAAGCGUGGGGAGCAAACGGG